CAAUUGCCAUGUGUUGGUAUU
RNAcentral lists this microRNA (21 nucleotides) under Caenorhabditis elegans. Its description in RNAcentral is "microRNA mir-353,a". Lineage: Eukaryota; Metazoa; Nematoda; Chromadorea; Rhabditida; Rhabditidae. The record is from RNAcentral.